RNAcentral lists this ribosomal RNA (253 nucleotides) under uncultured bacterium. RNAcentral's name for it is "partial 16S ribosomal RNA". It matches the Rfam family "Bacterial small subunit ribosomal RNA", at positions 524 to 776 of the family's 1533-position model. The record is from RNAcentral.
UGCAGAGGAGCCAAGCGUUGUCCGGAUUGACUGGGCGUAAAGCGCACGCAGGCGGAUGCGCGCGUGGGGUGUGAAAUCUGGCCGCUUAACGGCCAGGCGCCAUCCCAUACGGCGCGUCUGGAGUGAUGCAGAGGUCGGUGGAAUUGCCGGUGUAGUGGUGAAAUGCGUAGAGAUCGGCAGGAACACCCAGGGGGAAACCAGCCGACUGGGCAUCUACUGACGCUGAGGUGCGAGAGCGUGGGGAGCGAACCGG